This 22-nucleotide microRNA is filed under the name Mus musculus (house mouse). Lineage: Eukaryota; Metazoa; Chordata; Mammalia; Rodentia; Muridae. The record is from RNAcentral.
UACUCCAGAAUGUGGCAAUCAU